Molecule: ribosomal RNA, 429 nt
Filed under: Pseudomonadota bacterium
Lineage: Bacteria; Pseudomonadati; Pseudomonadota
Description: Proteobacteria bacterium partial 16S ribosomal RNA
Rfam family: Bacterial small subunit ribosomal RNA
Source: RNAcentral
UGGGGAAUAUUGGACAAUGGGCGAAAGCCUGAUCCAGCCAUGCCGCGUGUGUGAAGAAGGUCUUCGGAUUGUAAAGCACUUUAAGUUGGGAGGAAGGGCAGUAAGCGAAUACCUUGCUGUUUUGACGUUACCGACAGAAUAAGCACCGGCUAACUCUGUGCCAGCAGCCGCGGUAAUACAGAGGGUGCAAGCGUUAAUCGGAAUUACUGGGCGUAAAGCGCGCGUAGGUGGUUCGUUAAGUUGAAUGUGAAAGCCCCGGGCUCAACCUGGGAACUGCAUCCAAAACUGGCGGGCUAGAGUAGGGCAGAGGGUGGUGGAAUUUCCUCUGUAGCGUAGGUAUGCGUAGAUAUAGGAAGGAACACCAGUGGAGAAGGCGACCACCUGGGCUCAUACUGACACUGAAGUGCGAAAGAGUGGGGAGCAAACAGG